UACUAAAUCAGGGUGGUAGUUACAAGUG
This 28-nucleotide small RNA is filed under the name Bombyx mori (domestic silkworm). RNAcentral describes it as "ovarian small RNA-21228". The record is from RNAcentral. Lineage: Eukaryota; Metazoa; Arthropoda; Insecta; Lepidoptera; Bombycidae.